RNAcentral lists this ribosomal RNA (469 nucleotides) under uncultured bacterium. Its description in RNAcentral is "SSU rRNA". It matches the Rfam family "Bacterial small subunit ribosomal RNA", at positions 28 to 494 of the family's 1533-position model. The record is from RNAcentral.
GAUGAACGCUGGCGGCGUGCCUAACACAUGCAAGUCGAACGGAGUAUCUUUAACAGAAUUUCUUCGGAAAGGAAGAUAUUGAUACUUAGUGGCGGACGGGUGAGUAACGCGUGGGCAACCUGCCUCAUACAGGGGAAUAACAACCGGAAACGGUUGCUAAAACCGCAUAAUAUGCUAACAUCGCAUGAUGACUGCAUUAAAUAUUUAUAGGUAUGAGAUGGGCCCGCGUCUGAUUAGCUAGUUGGUGAGAUAAAAGCUCACCAAGGCGACGAUCAGUAGCCGGCUUGAGAGAGUGACCGGCCACAUUGGGACUGAGACACGGCCCAAACUCCUACGGGAGGCAGCAGUGGGGAAUAUUGCACAAUGGGGGAAACCCUGAUGCAGCGACGCCGCGUGAGUGAAGAAGUAUUUCGGUAUGUAAAGCUCUAUCAGCAGGGAAGAAAAUGACGGUACCUGACUAAGAAGCCCC